GGGGGUGCUUGUGGAUUCGACGGGAUUGAUCGUUGGAUUGGAUUGCAUGCAGAUAACCACGGGUGAAUCUUUAAAAGUCUCGUGAAAAAAACAAAUGCAAAUAAUAAUUACGCAUUAGCAGCUUAAGACUAAGCCGCUCGUUCACCGCCGGAGUCCCUACUUCUCUUGCGCUUGAACGUCAUUCUGAGUAGGUUUGCUCAAAAUCUUGCCUGAGGGUUUAGAGCGCGAUAAAUCGGGAUCGCAGGGCUGAUACCGGGUCUGUCCGGAGUCGGAACUGUUAAAUCUAAAGACAGACUAAGCAUGUAGCGGUCCUUUCAGACGCUUUUUCGGACAGGGGUUCAACUCCCCUCAUCUCCACAA
This 360-nucleotide transfer-messenger RNA is filed under the name bacterium. RNAcentral describes it as "UBA12480 sp003477045 Standard tmRNA". It matches the Rfam family "transfer-messenger RNA". Rfam says of the family: Bacterial tmRNA, also known as 10Sa RNA or SsrA, is named for its dual tRNA and mRNA-like properties. Its role is to liberate the mRNA from a stalled ribosome. The record is from RNAcentral. RNAcentral also lists the same sequence under 1 other name.